GACCUUCUAUUAGGUAACGACUUCGUGUUGAUCAUGGCUUGACAAGGUGUCACAAUGUUCAGAAAUGAACCUGACUAUUUCAUAAAUUGGUCUUAUUGGCUACAUGCCGAAAGUGCCUCCUAUUUCCCAAAAGAUGGGCUCAUGAUGAUCGAUAGCGUCAACUGCAUGGUAAGCUAAUGUCCAAUCUGUGUUGCUUUUCUUUUGACUGGUACUAUUUCUGGCGUCUUACUUUUUGUUUUUUCUUUUGGUUUGCGUGGUUCGACUUGGAUAGUUGGGUUUAGUUUCUACUCUACCUUAACUUGCUUGAGACCUGUUUUUGCUGCUGUCCCCAAAUUCCUAACCUAGCAGAGAAGCUCUAUAAGACUAGAGAACCAGUCGAUCGAAGUUUUAGAGAUCAUGGAUACACAUAUGUAGGCUGCAGACUUAUACUUGGCUUGUUUGGCACAGGUUCAACGCUCAAUUUUUUCGGAGCUGAUAUUUCUAGCUCCUAAAAUUCUUAAGAGUUGUAGUUAGGAUGAACGAGCAUUAUUGAGCGAGAUAUUCUGUUUGGAUGUUGGACUAGAAUUAGCGUGUCGAAAACCACUUUAUUUUAUUGUAGAAACUAUAUUUUCUGAACCUAUAAGUUAGACCUGUCAAACACCCUACGUCAACAAAUAUAAGGGAUUGCUCCAUUUAUCCACAUAUACAAGGGAUGAGUUCUACUUUUCCUUCAACUGUCUCAUUUAAGCAGUUACACCAAAAGAUGUUAUUUAUCCUAAUCAAGUACUCCCUCAGGACGGAGGGAGUAAAGUUUAUGGGACAUCAUUGAGUGAAUAGCUAAUUUAGUCCCUCAAGUUUCACUGAAGGCUCAAUUUGGUCUUUUAGGUUUCAUUUUAUCCACAUAGGUCCUCUAAGUAUUUGUUUUGGCUUAAAAUUAUCCUUGGGCCCACUUAAUAUGCCAUAUGGUUAUUUCUAGUCAACAAUUCUGUUAGAAAAUGUCCCUUCCGCUCUUAAUUUGUAUACAACUAUACACUAGAAAAAAAACUAAAAUGAAUAAACAACAUUGCAUAUGUACUUCCCAUUAUUUCAACAUGUGCACAUGAAACUUGAGCCUAAUGGCUAUCGUAUACACUUGCAAGUACUUAAUUUAUUUUGUUUUAUAUAAAUUGCUGUGCAUUAUCUAUAAAAAGAAUUCAUUGCAUGCAAUUUUUUCUCUUAUAUAUGUGAAUGAGGGGUAUAAGUGUUAUUUAUCAAGAGAGUUGUUGGUUAUGUUGGUUUAAGGAUAAGUUUAAAUUAAAAUAAAAACUUGAAGGACUAAUAUGGAUAAAUUGAAAUAUUAAAGACUAAAUUGAUUCUUAUAUGAAACUUGAAGGACCGCUUUAGCCUUAAACUCUACUCCCUCCAUUCCAUAAUAUAAGGCAUAGCAUGCAUGCAUGUAGGCAAUUAACUAUGACCCCUUCUCUAUUAAAUUAUUACUUUUUUAAAUACUUUACUCUCAUGUUCUCUAAUUCUAUUGGAUGCAUGCAUUGUAUUUAUUAGGAUGAUCCAAACUACAAGAUGAUAAUAAUUAUUUUCUUGAUUUUUGGGUUAGGGGUGAUUAUGCCUUAUAUUUUAGAAUGGAGGGAGUACAAAACAGUCUAUCAUAAAAUAUAUUAGUGACUUAGGAUUGGAUGGGACACAUUCUUAUAACUUAUAGCGACUUCUUCCGUCCCAUGAAAUUUGUCGUUCCAAGUUGUUUAGCAUGUAUUAAGGUUAGAAGAAAAAGACUAUAAUAUUCCUUAAUAAAUAAUGUAUAAUCGAAUGUAGGAUGGUGGUUAGGGGUAGAAUGGGAAGAAAUUUAAAUUGAAAGUGGUUGAUGUGACAAGUACUAUAAAGCGACAAUUAUUUUAGGAUAAUUUUUUAGUGCUAGAAAGACAAGUAUUGCGGGACGGAAGAAGUAUAUAGAACUGGAUGCGAUACAUCGUUAUAACAUGGUACCAUGAUAUAUCUAUUUAGAUAUAUUUUGGGACUGAGGAAGUAGAAUGGAUGUGAGCCGCCGCUCCAACUCAAUAUUCCCUUGGACGGAGCAACGAAAGAUCGCAGUCCGAACGCGUUGCCGCUUGCAUCCAACCAUUUUCCAUAGCAAUCACUUCGUAACGUCGGUGUCACAGCCAAAUUCCGCAGUUCUCGCUCCCAUGCAUGGUUCGGUGUACUAACUGGAAACAACCGAUGAUCUCCGCCAAUCAGCAGCAACUUGGCAAAGGAGAAAAGAAAGCAUAAAGCCCCUCGUCGCGGACGUCAUGUGCCAGUGACAUCACCGCCACCAACUUGUGUGAGCGCUUUGAUGACACUCUCGCUGCGAGACCGCUGCAGAGCGAAGCAACAGCCCGUGGUAUUUAAUCCGAGCUUCUGCCCUAUUAGCAUCCAGAUUCAUUCCAGCAGCAUCGUGUCCUGGACUCCUGGCCCUUGCUGCCUUGCAUUCCUGAUACGAUCUAAUCCUAGAUCAACCAUCACUUUUCUCUCUGCUACUCCCUCCAUUUUAUAUAGGGGUGAAAACAGAGCUGAUUCGGACUGAUAGUAGUCAUACCAUAUCCUAAACCAUAUUUUUUAAGUGGAUUCGAAGCGGUUGCGGAUAGUGUGCGGAUACGGAUACAGAGCGGAUUGGUUCGGAUGUCAGAAAUGGAGUGGAGUCGGUGCGGAAUCGGUUCGGAAACGGAUUAAAUUUAUCGGAUGUUACGUGUAUAUGCAAUCAAUACAACAUCGAGUUAGCAAUGCAAUGAAUAAUAAUACAAUAAUUAAUAAAUGACCUAUCGUAAUAAUUAUAUGCUUAAGGCUAAACAAGUAAACAACAUGAAUACAUUAUGUCCAUAAUAUAAAAAACAGCUACGUAAGUAUAAUAUGAGACGGUGAAAGUCUCAUAUUAAGAAAUCUAGGUUAAUUGAUGAAUUAGACCAUUGGAUGGACCAACUUAUAUUAUAUGUAAUAGAUAGAGUGGUUACAUGUGUUAAUAAUUUCGUAUUAUCCGGCAAACGUUCUAUCGGAUAAUCCGAUAGAAAAGUCAGAUAAUCCGCAUCCAUCGGAUUUCAGAAAUACCAUAUCCGCAUCCGCAUCCAUAUCCGCCGGAUUUCUAAAAACUCCUACCAUAUCCUCGUUACGGACGGAUUCGGAGCGGAUCGGAUCGGAUAUUAUCCGAUCCGUUUUCACCCGUAAUUUUAUAUUAUGGAGAAAUUUAACAAUAUUCCAUCUAUUAUGUUGCUUUGAAUCGAUCGCUAGUCAAAUUUCUUUAGGUUUGAUAAAAAAAUAGUAAUAUCUAUAAUACCAACUUAGUUUUAUUAAAUAUAAUAUAAUAUUGAAUAUAUUUUGAUAAUAUGUUUAUUUUGUGUUGAAAAUGUUACUAUGCUUUUUUUUAUAAAUUUGGUUAAACUCAAUAAGGUUUUGAUAUGAAAAGUUAAAGCGACGAUUUAUAAUAUAAAACGAAGGGAAUAUUACAUAAUUAACGUGCUGCUGUAUUCUUAAUCUAGAUCGAGCAUGAUUCUGGAAACGUCACUCUCAGUCUGAGAUAUGGUUCGGCCUGUAAGGAAAUUAAGAGAUGAUUAUGCACUGUUAGGCACCUGUAAUUUGGCUCUCUCUAGCUCCAAGUUGCAGAAAGCUGGGCGUUCCUAUUCGUAAUGCAGCAUUAGUUUUUUUUUUAAGGAAUGAUGCAGCAUUAGUGAGCAGUAGUACUAGAUUCUAUUCUAGUUAAGCCUGCAUGCAGUGAUGCAGGUCAGGUCAGUUGAACUAAAGAAUUCAAAGCAGCCGCCCUAAGCUAGCUUGAAGCCCGACACUCGAAUAAUGCACAUAUCAUUGACGAGAGUGAGAGGAGUGUGGUGCUAUAUGCCUUUCUUUCUUUUUCUGUUCCUCGCUUUCAGAUCGCCGGGCGUGCAUUGCAUCGACCGGUUUGCAGGUCCUUUCCCAAGGUCGCAUAUCGCAUCGAUCUCUCAAAGGUGAGAGAUCAAAUAUAAUCCAAGCGUCAUACUACUAGUCAAAGAACGCGUGCACAUUCUUAAAAAGGAAGAGAUCUUAAGUGGUGAUGAACAAGUUGGGGGCAGCCAGUGACCAUUGGCUUCCUCGAAACGGCUAAGGGCCCCUUUGAAUCGUAGGGUAGAAAAAACGGAAGAACGGAAAAAACACAGGAUUCUGACAGGAAUUGAAGUGUAAAACAGAGGAUUGCAAAACACAGGAAAAACACAGGAAUGGUUAUUUAAUUGGAGCACAGGAAAAACGCAGGAAUCGGAUGAGAGAGAUAGAAUCAAAGGAAAUUUUUCAAGAGAUUGGAGCUCUUGCUAAAUUUCCUCCAAAAUCCACAUGCAAUGUGCCAUUCCAUAGAAAUUUCAUAGGAUUUGAAAAGUUUCAAUCCUUUGAAUCAAACGAUUUAUGUAGGAAUUUCAUAGGGCAUAAAUCCUUUGAUUCACAGGGCCUAAAUGGGCAUUGGCUAUGAUAUGGCGCAUGGAAGGAACAUUGGCCAGGAUCCGUG
Molecule: long non-coding RNA, 4471 nt
Filed under: Oryza sativa (Asian cultivated rice)
Lineage: Eukaryota; Viridiplantae; Streptophyta; Magnoliopsida; Poales; Poaceae
Description: long non-coding RNA (OSAT_LNC000408)
Source: RNAcentral